UUGGUUGGCCAAAAAGUUCAUUUGGGGUUUUCCCUAAUAUCUUCUGGAAAAACCCAAACAAACUUUUUGGCCAACCCAAGA
Molecule: microRNA precursor, 81 nt
Filed under: Ovis aries (sheep)
Lineage: Eukaryota; Metazoa; Chordata; Mammalia; Artiodactyla; Bovidae
Description: miRNA (ENSOARG00000023613.1)
Source: RNAcentral